CAUAUGACACAAUGACAAAGAAAUUAGUGGAUUUAUUGUGUAUCCCGAAAAUUGUCUAUACAGUGGAUUCUUGGGAUGGCGGUUCAUUGGUUAUACCCAGACACUCAUGAGAGGGUUUUAGCCUGCUUAGCUUGUAGAAGGCUAAAUCAAAAACAUACAUAUGAUUAUCUAGCAAAAAUAAUCUUUGAAAUUUUUACCAUAAGGAUACAAAAUAAAGUGACCUAAUGCAUUAUCGAUAAUGCUCGAAAUUAUUUAAAAACCUUCAAAGUAUAUGAACAAGGAGAGGAAUCGGAUGAUGAAAUAGUUCCUCUGCCAUUAUUUGAUCUAUUUGAAGAUCAAAAUAUUAAUGAUAGUAUUGUAUACUUACCUAAGCAUCUGA
Molecule: long non-coding RNA, 379 nt
Organism: Gordionus sp. m RMFG-2023
Lineage: Eukaryota; Metazoa; Nematomorpha; Gordioida; Chordodea; Parachordodidae
Exons: 3
Source: RefSeq, a predicted model, not a curated record